AGCGAACGCUGGCGGCAGGCCUAACACAUGCAAGUCGAACGAAGCCUUCGGGCUUAGUGGCGGACGGGUGAGUAACACGUGGGAACGUACCUUUUGGUUCGGAAUAACGCAGAGAAAUUUGCGCUAAUACCGAAUGAGCCCUUAGGGGGAAAGAUUUAUCGCCGAAAGAUCGGCCCGCGCUGGAUUAGGUAGUUGGUGUGGUAAAGGCGCACCAAGCCUACGAUCCAUAGCUGGUCUGAGAGGAUGAUUAGCCACACUGGGACUGAGACACGGCCCAGACUCCUACGGGAGGCAGCAGUGGGGAAUCUUGCGCAAUGGGCGAAAGCCUGACGCAGCCAUGCCGCGUGAAUGAUGAAGGUCUUAGGAUUGUAAAAUUCUUUUACCAGGGACGAUAAUGACGGUACCUGGAGAAAAAGCCCCGGCUAACUUCGUGCCAGCCGCCGCCGUAA
RNAcentral lists this ribosomal RNA (449 nucleotides) under uncultured bacterium. RNAcentral describes it as "partial 16S ribosomal RNA". It matches the Rfam family "Bacterial small subunit ribosomal RNA", at positions 29 to 523 of the family's 1533-position model. The record is from RNAcentral.